GACGAAGGUGACGACCGUUGCUCGGAAUCACUGGGCGUAAAGGGCGCGUAGGCGGCGCGAGUAGUCAACGGUGAAAGCCCGGGGCUCAACCCCGGGUCGGCCGUCGAUACUCUCGUGCUUGAGCACUGUAGAGGCAGGUGGAAUUCCGGGUGUAGCGGUGGAAUGCGUAGAGAUCCGGAAGAACACCGGUGGCGAAGGCGGCCUGCUGGGCAGUGGCUGACACUGAGGCGCGACAGCGUGGGGAGCAAACAGG
Molecule: ribosomal RNA, 253 nt
Filed under: uncultured bacterium
Lineage: Bacteria
Description: partial 16S ribosomal RNA
Rfam family: Bacterial small subunit ribosomal RNA
Source: RNAcentral